Molecule: ribosomal RNA, 253 nt
Filed under: uncultured bacterium
Lineage: Bacteria
Description: partial 16S ribosomal RNA
Rfam family: Bacterial small subunit ribosomal RNA
Source: RNAcentral
UACGAAGGGUGCAAGCGUUAUUCGGAUUGAUUGGGCGUAAAGGGUGCGCAGACGGUAUGUUAAGUCAACUGUUAAAUUUCCCGGCUUAACCGGGAGCAAGCAGUAGAAACUGGCGUGCUAGAGGGUGGAAGAGGGAAGUGGAAUUCUCGGAGUAGCGGUAAAAUGCGUAGAUCUCGAGAGGAACACCGAUGGCGAAGGCAGCUUCCUGGUCCAUUUCUGACGUUCAUGCACGAAAGCGUGGGGAGCAAACAGG